AGAUAGUGACUCGGAUCCAUUUGACUUAAAUGAGUCAUCUUUGGUGGAAGAAUCAUAUAGCGAUAGUCUCUCCUCUCUAGUUCCUCUUUCUGAACUGAACACACUGUCUUGAUGAAAUUCUAGAGUCAAAAGAGAAGAAAAACCCAAGGACUGUUAAGUGGUCAAAGGAAGAUACAGCAGAUUUGAAAUAUCAUUUUAGAAAGUACAUAUUUACUCAGAAAAACAAUAACACAGGGAAUCUACCAUGUAAGAAAGAAAUUGAAGACUUCCUGAAGACAAAUAAUAUAUCAUCAUUAGAUGGUCUUCAUAUGAAGACAACAAUUUCCAAAGCCAGAACAAAGAUUUUUAAUGAGAGAAAAACGGCGAGGCUAAGAAGUUCCAAAAAACUUGCAGAGUUGGAGUUGGUGGCUAUAUGAACAAUUUAGAAAUGAACAUGACUUGUGAAUAUGCAUAUGAAUAGUAUGUAGUUUUCUAGUCAGAUAUUAGCAAUUAGUACAUCUCAUGGGGGAGUGGUCACGAUUUUGGUCAGAUUUUUAUUUUUGUAUUUUUUAUUGUUUAUAAUGCAUUAGUAUAAUGCAUUUCUAAUGACCAACCACAAUUUGAGUGUUAGUUGUAGUGUUAUUAGCCAGAUGCAGAGCUUCAAUUCUUUGUUUUGUAAGAAGGCUUGUGUCUUAUUUUUUUGAUUUACAUUGGUUCAAUACACCGGUAAAAGUUCUUUUUCAAGCUGAUUUUUUUAUCUGCUAAUUUGUUUUGUACAUCAAUAAACAGCUCCUUGUAUUUGUCAUAUUCAUUUCAUGUCUUAACCUGGAAUUUCAAAAUGUAAACAAACACAUGGCACAAGUUUUGUUUACAUACCAAAGAAUUGUUAGCCCUGUGUCUCGCUUAAAACUCGAGAACUGAAACUCAAAGUUUGGUUGACUAUUAGAAAUGCAUUACUUGAGCAUGAUGAACAUUCAAAAUGGAAAAAUAAAUUUUGACCAAAAUCAUGACCAUGCCCCUUUUAAAACAAACAUGGAACUUGGCCUAUAUGUACAUGCAGUAUUCUUUGAAUUGCCAUAUUGUCUGCAUUUUUAUUGUGCUGGGUUAUUGUAUUUUAAUACUCCACUCAAAAGGAGAGGGCGUAUACUGCGUUACCCUUGUGUACCAAUCAAAUGUCAACUUUUUGUUAAAUGACGACUGUUUAUUUUUAGCUUAAAUUUUCAAACAAAUUUUUGUCAAAAAUUUCUCGGCACCUAUUUAUAGCAGAGGCUUAAAAUUUUAACCUCUUUGUGUAGGCAUGCCAUAUGAUGGGAUCCAUUUUUUAAAAAAAUGAUGUCAACUCCCUGUGAAAUAUCGACUGCAUAUUUUGUAUAUUCAGAUCAGAGCAGGGGUAUCACUUUUGAGUAUUGGCUCACAGAUAUCUUGUUUGUUUGUAAUGAAUUGACCUUUAGAAUUUUGUUUCUUUUAAAAAAAAAUUGAUAUUUGUUGUUACCAAGAAUAAUUGCAGAUGUAACCUGUACAUCCCUAUAGAAAAGAUCUGUGUUGCAAAAUGUUACAUACUGCAAAUAACUUGAUGCCUUUAAUGUUAAAGGGGCAUGGUCACGAUUUGGCUCAAAAUUAAUUUUUCUCUUUUUAAUGUUUACAAUGACUUAAAUAGGCAUUUCUAAUAAUCAACCAAAAAUUUGAGUGUCAGUCGUGAAGUUAUAAGCGAGAUAUAGAGCUCACAAUUUUGAUUAUGUAACCAAAGCUGAUGUCAUGAUUUUGAUUACCGGUACAUUUUAAAUGUUGAGGAAAAAUGUCAGGUUUAGACCAAAAAAGAAUGUUACAAACGCUAGGAACUGUUAAAAACGAUUUAGUAAUUAGAAAACUCAGCCUGAAAAAGAACCUUUACCGGUAUAUUGAACUUAUGUAAACAAAAACAUGGCACGAGCCUUAUUUCCAUUAUAUUUUAUUGAAAAUGACAGUUUGAAACAUGAGUUUUCAUAGUGUUCAUAGCCCCACCACACCGAAUCAAACAAAGCUGUUUUUAUGAAGCAUCAAUAAAAAUAUUUAUAUCUUGAAUUUCAUAAUCCUGUAGGCACCUUGCAUGUACAAGAUCUUGAUCUUAAAGAAGCUUUGUUUAAUUUUCUUUUAAAGUAAGUUAUGAUAAUGUCGUGUGUUGGAAAAGGUGCAUAUAUAGAAUAAAUUUAAACAAAAACAUUGAAUUAUUGUGAAAUUGUCUACUGAAGAAUUGAAUGAAAUAACUGAUUAAAAGGACAUUGAUUAAAGUAAUGAUGUAAACUUAUGUAUUAGAUUACUAGUUUGAUGAAACAACUCAUCAAUUUUCUGAAUUUGAUCCUAUGAAAUAUUGAAAAAAAGUUAAAGUGUUAAACAUUAAUGAUGCACUGAAGGUGAAUUACAUUUUUGUUCUGAACUUGCUUUUGAGAAUUUAAGUCUUAAUUUGUUCAAUGAGUUAAUAUAUUAGAUUGUAAUGAUAUUUGCAUUACAUUUAUAUAUAGUAGAUUAUGCAAUAAUGAAUUUCUUUUAUGAUCAUUUGAUUCUUAACUUUAAAUGGAUGUUUAAUUUAAAACUUGAUUGUCUUCUGAACAUCAUAUUAUUUAGUUUUAACACAGUCUUGCUCAACUAAAAGUGCAAAGUGUUGAAAAAAAAGUUUGGUUAAGAAUCACUUUGUAACUGACAGACUGCAUUAUAUUUGCUGAAUUAAAAAUUCAGCUUUGAGCUAUGAUUGAAUGUAGACUGGUCAUUCAAGGGAGAAAUGAAAGACAUUGACUAAAAUGUUCCACAUUGUUUUAAUUCUCUUUGACUUUUGCUCAAGAAUUUUUGAAAACAGAACAAUUGAUGUUUUAAUUUUUAUGUUGUUUUUAAAGAAAUGAAUAAUAAGUUGGAACAAAUUGAAUUUUUCCUAUGAAAUUGUUUGAAUAUGUAAUAAAAGAAUUUUAGAAA
Magallana angulata is the source of this 2922-nucleotide long non-coding RNA. RefSeq lists it as uncharacterized. The record is from RefSeq and is a predicted model, not a curated record. NCBI's taxonomy places the organism in Eukaryota, Metazoa, Mollusca, Bivalvia, Ostreida, Ostreidae. The transcript has 5 exons.